RNAcentral lists this ribosomal RNA (305 nucleotides) under uncultured bacterium. Its description in RNAcentral is "bacterial SSU rRNA". It matches the Rfam family "Bacterial small subunit ribosomal RNA", at positions 335 to 639 of the family's 1533-position model. The record is from RNAcentral.
AGCCUACGGGGCGCAGCAGUGAGGAAUAUUGGUCAAUGGCCGGAAGGCUGAACCAGCCAAGCCGCGUGAGGGAGGAAGGCGCAGAGCGUCGCAGACCUCUUUUGCCGGGGGACAAAAGGCCGGACGGGUCCGGUUCUGAGGGUACCCGGAGAAAAAGCAUCGGCUAACUCCGUGCCAGCAGCCGCGGUAAUACGGAGGAUGCGAGCGUUAUCCGGAUUUAUUGGGUUUAAAGGGUGCGUAGGCGGAAUGCCAAGUCAGCGGUAAAAUCGCGGGGCUCAACCUCGCUCCGCCGCUGAAACUGGCGU